UUGUAGGGCACCUCUUGCUUGGCAGGUAAAGGGGACACUAGCUAGCAUAACAUCCCAAUAACUUGCUUGCCAAAGGAGAGUUGCCCUGUGACU
This 93-nucleotide microRNA precursor is filed under the name Ricinus communis (castor bean). RNAcentral's name for it is "miR399a stem-loop (rco-MIR399a)". Its record names the gene rco-MIR399a. Lineage: Eukaryota; Viridiplantae; Streptophyta; Magnoliopsida; Malpighiales; Euphorbiaceae. The record is from miRBase by way of RNAcentral.